This 1262-nucleotide long non-coding RNA is filed under the name Homo sapiens (human). RNAcentral's name for it is "FTX transcript, XIST regulator". The stretch from base 490 to 568 matches the Rfam family "mir-95 microRNA precursor family". Lineage: Eukaryota; Metazoa; Chordata; Mammalia; Primates; Hominidae. The record is from RNAcentral.
AUCAGCUCUGGUGUGCUUACCUUUUUCACCAACGUGUCUUCUACCCUACUUACCUCAUAAGUGAAUCUAAUACAGAGGUUAUUUUGGAUAUAAUCAUUAUCUUAACAGGCAAGAUAGUGGGCUGUGCUAUUUCAAACCCUAAAUUUGGCUUUCAGGAUUAUGAAGUAUUAAUUCUUCCACUGAUAUCUCAAAAGGUGAUCUGGACAAAGGAACAGGUAUCUCAGAUCUUGGGACACCCAGCACGUGACAAAAACAACAGCAGACCCUGGUGCCUGGGAGGACUUCAUGGAUCCAGCAGCAACCUGGAGUGGUGCUCCUCUGAAGAAAUCCUACUCGGAUGGAUAUAAUACAACCUGCUAAGUGUCCUAGCACUUAGCAGGUUGUAUUAUCAUUGUCCGUGUCUAUGGCUCUCGUCUACCAGACUUUAAAUUCCUUAAGGGCAAGGACAGUGCCUUACUCAUCUUUGUAUUCACAGUGCCUAAUCCGGUGCACAUUGUAGGCCUCAUUAAAUGUUUGUUGAAUGAAAAAAUGAAUCAUCAACAGACAUUAAUUGGGCGCCUGCUCUGUGAUCUCCAUGGGCUCAGCUUGUCCCCGCCAGUUGCCAACAACGUCCAAGCUCUCUUCAGAAUGCUUACUCCUGAAGCUUAUUCCUGUCUUCUAAUUCUUUUGUUGAGGACUUUUCUGUGUAGUGCAAUGAUAGCAAAUACACUUCAUCUCAAGUACCAUCUCCAAUUGAUUGAUAAUGCCUGCCCUGAUUAUGUUUUAUAACAAGAUUCUGAAACCAGGUCUUAUCUCAGUGUGAAAGACAUUUAUAACUAUUUAGUGAUGUCUGCUGAGGGUCGGAGAAGGGGGAGUAGCAGCACAAGUGCCUCAUAUGUCAUAUUUGCUACUCUGUUUUCUAUGAAAUACUUCAUUUCUAUGCCUGCAUUUUGGUCUUAGCUACUUGCUGAUGUUGCAUGGCUGUUGCUGCUACUGUAAUUGCUGCUAAUUGCUCCCUGGGUUGGACCAGAGUGCUCAUUGUCUGAACAGAAACCUCAUCCUCACAGUCUGAGGUUUGCUCCUGUGGCUGAUAUUUAAAGUUUUCCCCUUUCAACUUUACUCCAGCUAUCCCCUUACCUGCACUGACAGGUAAUCCUCCACCGUCCUGUUCACCUCUCACCAGGUUCAUAUUUUCUUUAUCUUAUUUAUUGUACUUAAUCAUUAUUUUGUGAGAAGCUUUUCUGAUUGUAGAUGUGACAACCAGAAUACAAGUUAAAACCACU